RNAcentral lists this ribosomal RNA (852 nucleotides) under uncultured archaeon pPCA8.3. RNAcentral describes it as "bacterial SSU rRNA". It matches the Rfam family "Archaeal small subunit ribosomal RNA", at positions 76 to 928 of the family's 1478-position model. The record is from RNAcentral.
UGUGGCCGUUAAAGUCGUAACAAGGUAUCCUACCCUCGGGAGGGGGAUAACCCCGGGAAACUGGGACUAAUCCCCCAUAGGCCUGAGGUACUGGAAGGUCCUCAGGCCGAAAGGGACUCUGUCCGCCCGAGGAUGGGCCGGCGGCCGAUUAGGUAGUUGGUGGGGUAACGGCCCACCAAGCCGAAGAUCGGUACGGGCCAUGAGAGUGGGAGCCCGGAGAUGGACACUGAGACACGGGUCCAGGCCCUACGGGGCGCAGCAGGCGCGAAACCUCCGCAAUGCGGGCAACCGCGACGGGGGGACCCCCAGUGCCGCGGCAUUCGCCACGGCUUUUUCCGGAGUGUAAAGAGCUCCGGGAAUAAGGGCUGGGCAAGGCCGGUGGCAGCCGCCGCGGUAAUACCGGCGGCCCGAGUGGUGGCCGCUAUUAUUGGGCCUAAAGCGUCCGUAGCCGGGCCCGUAAGUCCCUGGCGAAAUCCCACGGCUCAACCGUGGGGCUUGCUGGGGAUACUGCGGACCUUGGGACCGGGAGAGGCGGAGGGUACCCCUGGGGUAGGGGUGAAAUCCUGUAAUCCCAGGGGGACCGCCAGUGGCGAAGGCGCUCCGCUGGAACGGGUCCGACGGUGAGGGACGAAGGCCAGGGGAGCAAACCGGAUUAGAUACCCGGGUAGUCCUGGCUGUAAAGGAUGCGGGCUAGGUGUCGGGUGAGCUUCGUGCUCGCCCGGUGCCGAAGGGAAGCCGUUAAGCCCGCCGCCUGGGGAGUACGGCCGCAAGGCUGAAACUUAAAGGAAUUGGCGGGGGAGCACUACAAGGGGUGGAGCGUGCGGUUUAAUUGGAUUCAACGCCGGAAAGCCG